RNAcentral lists this unclassified non-coding RNA (234 nucleotides) under plant metagenome. RNAcentral describes it as "partial contains small subunit ribosomal RNA, internal transcribed spacer 1, and 5.8S ribosomal RNA". The record is from RNAcentral.
UUUCCGUAGGUGAACCUGCGGAAGGAUCAUUAAAGUUAUAGUCCCCCGGCCCUCUGGGCUGGGGUCUUCUAUACCACCCUUUGUUUAUCGCACCUUUGUUGCUUUGGCAGGCCUGCCCUCGGGCUGCUGGCUCCGGCCGGCUCGCGUCUGCCAGAGGACCUAAACUCUGGUUGUAUAUGAAGUCUGAGUACUAUAUAAUAGUUAAAACUUUCAACAACGGAUCUCUUGGUUCUG